UAUAUAUCAAAUAACAAAAAAUUUAAUUAAAAAUUACACAAGUUCAUCAAUGCGAACAACUUAAUGUGUCAUAAUAUAUAUGAUCAAAACAAUAACAUAGGUCCAAUUUAAUAAAUGAGAAUAAGUUAUGUGAUAAUAUUAUUGACUAUCAUAUUUUUCCUGAGUUCAAUUAUAUUGUGCCAUGUAAAAUUGCACAGAUGAAUGUGUAUAAUAAAAUUUGUAUAUCUAGUAUUGUUUGAGUGAUAGUAGAGCAGUAAACAAAUUGUAUAAACGUAUGUGUGCAAAAUACAAACCAAUGUGGCUCUGACACGCGAAAGUAUUUGUUUGAUAAACACCAGUUAAUAAAAAUAAAAAUAUAAAAAUACAAAUUUAUUCAAUCUAUUUGUAACUCUAUCAUCACUUAUAUUGUUAAUAUAUUGACUACUACUGACGAUCAAUAUCCAAUAUUGAACGAUUCGUACAUAAUACUCGUGAUUCCCAAAUUAUAUCUUAAAAAAAUGAAAACAUUUUUGUGUCCUCAAAGUCAAAAUCUAAUAAGAACUUUUGCUCUGCUUAUUCAAAUAAUGGGCCAAGCUCUGGUAAGCUGGUAAGCCGAUCUAUCCAUGCUUGAACCCACCAUUCUUGGGCUAACCGAAGAACAAGAUCAUGAGCCCAUUACAAAUGAUUGCAACUUGCACGGUACCAAAACUCUCAUAAAACCCAUUUUCUAAGAUACACUCCUCUACAUAUACAUACAUACAUACAUAUAUACAUAUACAUCUAUGUAUAUGUAUAUGUAUUACUAGAAUUGGACUAUUGGACUAUUGGCAUAUACAUAUAUGUAUAUGUAUAUGUAUUACUAGAAUUGGACUAUUGGACUAUUGGCACCACCUAUUAUCCUCUUAAAACUCCUUUUGUAAAGAUAUCCAAUUAAAUAAUUUGAAACAUCAGAUAACGUUUAUUGACACCCUUUUUAUUCCAUAAAUAUUUGUACUUCACUCAUUCCUCUAAACAAACUCCCAUACAUGAUAUUUCUUUUUCUUAAUUUCUUUAGGUACAUAAACUAAAAUUUCUAUAUUCUCUUAUUGCUAACGCUAACCAUGCAUCUUAUAAACAAAAUAAAUAGUUAAUAUUUUUUUGGGAUUGAUUAUUUUGAUGACAAUUUGUCUAUUGUUCAACAUCAUAUAGACUUACAAUUCCCAAUAAGAAAAAUAAAAUAAAAUAAAAUUUUUAUGUCAUGAAUACUCCUAAAGGCUUACAAGAAGCCAUGGGAAAGUCAUGGGGUGUUUUCAUUAAGAAUGGCAAAAUCUGAGUUGGGGUCCGAAUUCGAGUUUAGCCGUCUUGGUUCUGGACCUAGAUGACAAGCUAAAAUGUAGGGUUUGUUUUGUUUUUCUCAUUUUUUGCUUUUAUACUUAUAAAUAAUAAAUAAUUAAAUAAUUAAAUAAUAUUCAAAAUACGAUAAUUUGGGUUGCUGGUUUCUGAAAAUUCAAGUUCACUUGAACUUAGAACCCGACUCAAAUAAGUCUAGGUUUAGGAAACCAAUGCUGGAUUCCGCAUAAUAUAUGCAUCCGUUAGAAGUUGAAAAUGGCCCUGAACAACUGAGUUUGUUCAAAUUCGAGUUAUCUUGCCAUAUAUAGUUUUCAUCUAUUUCUAUUCAUGAAAGCCAUUUUUCUAGGGUUGGACACUUUCUUUAGUACUAAAUUAGGGCACCGUUGACAUUUUUCGAGAUAUAUAAAGAACAAUGACAAGUUCAAUGUAAAUCAGGGAUGGAACAAGCCAAUCUUGGCUGGAGGGGCCAAGAAUUUUUUCAAGCCUAUAAAUAGGUAUUU
This 1808-nucleotide long non-coding RNA is filed under the name Citrus x clementina. RNAcentral describes it as "Citrus clementina (C. clementina) long non-coding RNA (CCLE_LNC003433)". The record is from RNAcentral. Lineage: Eukaryota; Viridiplantae; Streptophyta; Magnoliopsida; Sapindales; Rutaceae.